RNAcentral lists this ribosomal RNA (411 nucleotides) under uncultured bacterium. RNAcentral describes it as "bacterial SSU rRNA". It matches the Rfam family "Bacterial small subunit ribosomal RNA", at positions 64 to 507 of the family's 1533-position model. The record is from RNAcentral.
GAACGAGAAAGUGGAGCAAUCCAUGAGUAAAGUGGCGCACGGGUGAGUAACACGUGACUAACCUACCCUCGAGUGGGGAAUAACUUCGGGAAACCGAGGCUAACACCGCAUAACAUCUACGGAUCAAAUGCGUAAGCAGCUUGAGGAGGGGGUCGCGGCUGAUUAGCUAGUUGGCGGGGUAAUGGCCCACCAAGGCAAUGAUCAGUAGCCGGCCUGAGAGGGCGCACGGCCACACUGGAACUGAAACACGGUCCAGACUCCUACGGGAGGCAGCAGUGGGGAAUUUUGCGCAAUGGGGGAAACCCUGACGCAGCAACGCCGCGUGGAGGAUGAAGCCCCUUGGGGUGUAAACUCCUUUCGAUCGGGACGAUAAUGACGGUACCGGAUGAAGAAGCACCGGCUAACUCUGUG